ACCAUUCCAAUCAAACCUUUUCUACUCCACCGCACCACCUCCUUUGCACCCAUUUCUUUCGAAGCUUUGGAAGUAGGUGAAGUGAAUUUUUGGUUUGAUUUUGGAAGAGUGGAGCCGGUAGAAGCAAGAAGGGGGGAAGGAAAUUAGUCUUUGGUUACCUCUGGUCACCAUAAACGGCAGCAUCAACGGCGGAGCAGAGGCUGUGGCUAGGUUGUUUUUUUUUUUUUUUAAAGUAGAAGAGGAAGAGAAAGGGAACGACAAUUUGUAUAAUAUACGAUUUCCAUUAGUUUUGGCGAGAAAGACUAUCAUUUUAAUAAAUGGUGAAAAAGACUAUUUUCUAAAAACCUGAGUUUAUAUAUUUCUUUUUAAUACAAUGAAAUUAUUAUUUUUUAUUUUUAAGUGUUUU
RNAcentral lists this long non-coding RNA (406 nucleotides) under Gossypium raimondii (Peruvian cotton). RNAcentral describes it as "long non-coding RNA (GRAI_LNC001769)". The record is from RNAcentral. Lineage: Eukaryota; Viridiplantae; Streptophyta; Magnoliopsida; Malvales; Malvaceae.